GAUGAAGAACGUAGCGAAAUGCGAUAAGUAAUGUGAAUUGCAGAAUUCAGUGAAUCAUCGAAUCUAUGAACGCACAUUGCGCCCGCCAGUAUUCUGGCGGGCAUGCCUGUUCGAGCGUCAUUUCAACCAUCAAGCCCCCGGCUUGUGUUGGGGACCUGCGGCUGCCGCAGGCCCUGAAAAGCAGUGGCGGGCUCGCUGUCACACCGAGCGUAGUAGCAUACAUCUCGCUCUGGGCGUGCUGCGGGUUCCGGCCGUUAAACCACCUUCAUAACCCAAGGUUGACCUCGGAUCAGGUAGGAAGACCCGCUGAACUUAAGCAUAUCAAUAAGCGGAGGA
RNAcentral lists this unclassified non-coding RNA (336 nucleotides) under soil metagenome. Its description in RNAcentral is "partial contains 5.8S ribosomal RNA, internal transcribed spacer 2, and large subunit ribosomal RNA". The stretch from base 1 to 120 matches the Rfam family "5.8S ribosomal RNA", at positions 35 to 154 of the family's 154-position model. The record is from RNAcentral.